Molecule: ribosomal RNA, 496 nt
Filed under: uncultured bacterium
Lineage: Bacteria
Description: partial 16S ribosomal RNA
Rfam family: Bacterial small subunit ribosomal RNA
Source: RNAcentral
AUGAACGCUGGCGGCGUGCCUAAUCCAUGCAAGUCGCGCGAACAGACGAGGAGCUUGCUCCUCUGACGUUAGCGGCGGACGGGUGAGUAACACGUGGAUAACCUACCUAUAAGACUGGGAUAACUUCGGGAAACCGGAGCUAAUACCGGAUAAUAUAUUGAACCGCAUGGUUCAAUAGUGAAAGACGGUUUUGCUGUCACUUAUAGAUGGAUCCGCGCCGCAUUAGCUAGUUGGUAAGGUAACGGCUUACCAAGGCAACGAUGCGUAGCCGACCUGAGAGGGUGAUAGGCCACACUGGAACGGAGACACGGUCCAGACUCCUACGGGAGGCAGCAGUAGGGAAUCUUCCGCAAUGGGCGAAAGCCUGACGGAGCAACGCCGAGUGAGUGAUGAAGGUCUUCGGAUCGUAAAACUCUGUUAUUAGGGAAGAACAAAUGUGUAAGUAACUAUGCACGUCUUGACGGUACCUAAUCAGAAAGCCACGGCUAACUACGUG